UUGCUCAAAAAUUACUUCAAAGU
This 23-nucleotide microRNA is filed under the name Caenorhabditis elegans. Its description in RNAcentral is "cel-miR-8212-5p". Lineage: Eukaryota; Metazoa; Nematoda; Chromadorea; Rhabditida; Rhabditidae. The record is from miRBase by way of RNAcentral.